GUCGAGGCUAGAAUCACACGUGGUUAUCAGCUAUUGCCUUAGUGUGCUAGAGUCCUCAAAGAGCAACUGCUGACCUUAUUCACUGACUCUGGCUCCCCUAUGGCGUACCCAGUCACCAGGUUAGUGACAUGC
Pteronotus mesoamericanus is the source of this 132-nucleotide small nucleolar RNA. RefSeq annotates it as small nucleolar RNA SNORA3/SNORA45 family. The transcript has a single exon. The record is from RefSeq and is a predicted model, not a curated record. Lineage: Eukaryota; Metazoa; Chordata; Mammalia; Chiroptera; Mormoopidae.